Long non-coding RNA from Felis catus (domestic cat), 451 nucleotides. RefSeq lists it as uncharacterized. The record is from RefSeq and is a predicted model, not a curated record. NCBI's taxonomy places the organism in Eukaryota, Metazoa, Chordata, Mammalia, Carnivora, Felidae. The transcript has 2 exons.
AAACUUCGUAACUUCCGAAUCUGGGAGCGGCUCCCGGAUGCCGCGGCAAGCGGGCCUCUUCGGCCCUGCGCCCCAGUGCGGAAUGCCCCCCAAACCCAAAGGCUGUGCCGCCGAGUAGGCUCCGCUACGCCUCCCCAGAAUCACGCCUGGGCACUUUCUUGGUACAGCAUUCUGCCAGCCAGUUCAGCCCCUUACUGAGCCCCUGCUGCAUACCAGGUGCCGUGCUGGAUGUUAAGAUGCACAGGUGAAUGACACAAGGUCCUUGCCCCAAAGGAGUUCCCAGCCUAGGGUAGAAACGACCUGACCACCCAGCAACAGGAUUUGGAGAGCUGGGAGUCCAGGAGGGAUCCCCCACAACAGCUCCUUCUGGGCCCCUUUCUAACACGCCAGAUUCAAAUAUUUUAACAGCUCUGCGUCAUUCACGGAAUAAAAUAUGAAUACUCUGAGUCAA